GUUUCAUUGGCGCCAAAAGGCUCAGUGGUUUAAGCCUUGGACAAGAGCGAUACUUUAUUGGAUGCAUGACAGCCUUGUGCAAUGCAGUUGGGGACAAUGGCAUCGAGGCAUCGUGGCCUUCUGGACAUGUCAGUGUUCCCCUGGUGUUUGCUCACAGAUGUGUAGCCUUCAUGUUGUGAUAAGAAACAUUGUGUACCAUUGUGCUUACAGCUGCCUGAUUCUCUUACUGUGGUGACAAUUGUGGCAGGAAUUGCCAGUGCAUAAUGGGAAACCAUCAACCACUUGGGCGCAUUGUGGCAGGAACCUUGUUCGCAAUUGGCUAGAAUUGAAGCCUGAAUGUAAUGUGGCAUAGUUAUUGCCAGUGUCGGUGGCAAGAAAAUGUAGAGUACAGCAGGGAUGGUCAAAUGCAGAAAGCAUGCAGUUGAAGUGGUGUGAAAUGAAACGCAACAAAAACAGCUUUUGCUAAUGCAAGUGUACAGACGGGGAAUACUGAAUGCAGUGGAGAUGUGACCUCUGCAAGCAGAUGUUGUAAUUUCCUGCUCGAGCCUUUGCACGUGCUCUGCCAUAUGGCUUUUAUGGAUAGUGGUCUUCAGGCCUCUUCGAUGUAUUUGUAGAUUAAAAACAAAGUUUCCUUGUUUGUAACUAUAUGGAGCCUUAAUUUUUUUGGUGCACAACAGUUAGUUACUAUACCUUUUAAUAUUUCCAGUUCAAAACACUUGGCAUUGGACUAGAAGCACAUCUGUUCAAGUCGCCUAAAUCUCUGCUAGAAGCAGAGUUCAUUCAGCACCCGAUCGGAUAGUAAGGAAGAGAAAGCCCUCCUGCAUUUCCAAGGCAAGCACAAAAUUGGAAGAGACAGUUUGGCAGCUUUUGGUGACAUGAUCGUUGUGUGGCCUUCAAGCACUGCUCCAGGCUGACUUGCACCUACUUCAGUUGUUUGUCAUACUGCAUAAGUGGCCACUGCAGGUUUGAGUGACAUGAGUGAUCUUUUGUUUCAUGUCCAAAGUAUGAUGUUUUGUUUAUGUCCAAUGCAGAUGUGUUUAGUACACAUGUGUGUCAGUCAACUUAAAGGUGAUACAAUUACUGGCCUGCGCUCUUGGGGAAUUCAAUCUUCAUUCCGUAAUUAUGGAGUCUACAGCUGCAUAAAAAUAAAAAAAGUGAGACAGAAAAUUUUCAAUGUCUGUCUCCUUACUGCCUUAAAUUGUGCAGGUGCUUCGUGAAUGUGGUGAGCUAGAGCUAUGCGUGCAUGUUUCUAUGCACGUAGGGCUAAAAUUGUGUUACUGGUGGUCAUCCUCAGGGCAUGCAUAGCAUUAGUUUGUGUUUGUUAUGUUCAUGUGAUCAGUAUUCAUUGUUUACACCGCCUUGGCUUGUUAUAGUUGAUGCAGUCGUGUACUGUUGUGUGCAGUAGUGCACAAGGCGACAAUACACAAUCUUCACCAUUCUGUUGACUGCUUUGCAAAUUAUACAACACUGCAAACAACAGAGGAUUACCAGCUAGCCCAAUCUGCCACCAUUCUUCACAUUGUGCAUUUAGUUGGCAUCUAAUUUUUAGCUCCUCAUUCUCUGACCUUGCCUCAGUGAAACAGUCCUGUGAUCCAUUUGUGCCAUGCAAACAAUUACUCUAUGCAAGCCUUAACCAUCAUUAUUUUGCCGUGCCUUAGUCUUGCAAUAUGUCAUGUCAUUUUCUCUUAUGAACAGUGUCCCUUCUUUUUCUUUUUUUCUAGAAUAGCUUUGGAGAAAAUUGUGUACGCUACAGCUCGGGAAAGAAUGUAUAUGUCAAAAAAUGAAAUAAAAGUUCAUUGUCUGUCUGUCUUAAAAAAUGACACGUAUGAAUGCCGGAAAACGUAGUGUUAUAAGAUACAACUGGACAAAUAGUCUAAACACAGUCAUGACACAAGCAAGAGAAAUGCCAUGUGUGCAAGAAGUACUGCUUUUAAAUCGGUGCUGCAUUGUGGAUCCAAGGCAAACUGAAAAUGUGCUUUAGUCGUAGUAGUAGUAGUAGUAGUAGUAGUAGUAGUAGUAGUAGUAGUAGUAGUAGUAGUAGUAGUAGUAGUAGUAGUUCUGCUGUAUUAGAAAGGGGGAAAGUAGGUAGGAAAUGAAGGGCAUCACAACUGUCUCUCUCUUCAGUGGAGUCCUGAACUGUCCUGCGGCCGUCAGAAUAGAUGGGGUUGAAAUGAAAAGAUGGGGGAGGGGGAAAUAUAAUAGAUGUAUAGAGAAAAGUGAAAAGGGCAGAAAUGCUAUAGGAAAAAAGAUAUGUAUAAGAACUGCUUCACGACCUAGAAUGUAUAUGCCAAAAGAUAUGUUUGCUGGUAAAAGCGUGUAUGCAGUAAAAUAUUGUAACAAAGAAGGUGUUCUGGGUUCUCGCUGUUACCGAGAUCAGAGAUUCUGUUUGGCCAGAACUGCCUGGGUUCUCUUGGUGCUCUGCUGCCUUAAUAAACUGCCUUGCGUUAUAAUUAUUGCUGCCCUUGCCGUGUGUGCCUCUUUAGUGGCAAAUAGGACUUUCAGCAAACUGGGAAAUAGAGAUUUGUAAGAACUAGACAUAGGCAACAAGAAAGUGUUCAUUUGGUGUCAACUUCCCUGCAUGUUCUGUAUGGUUCAGCUGUGCUUCAGUCUCAUUACUUCAAAUGCCCCUUCUUUCAUUAGCUUGACUUCACAAUUUAUUACCGUGUGCUUUUAAUUGAGACAAGAGAAACACUAAAUCAGUUUAAAUGUAUAAAGUAUUCUUUAAAAACAACUUUCGUUAUUUUCACAGUAAGAGGUUGAAUAUCAGAAGAGAAAACAAAGCCCAAAGUACCACUGUUAAAAUUUCGUGCUGAAACCCCAGCUUACAUACGUCAGGGCAAUGUUUGGAAUUUCAUAGUGUUUUCUUCACAUUUGCACCAUUGGGGUUUAGUGAAACUUCCUCAAACUCACCAAGUUCAGUCUUGGGUUCGUUUGGAAUAGAAUGCUGUUCCCCUUUACUGGCACAACAAUUAGGUUAGGUGCGAGUGGUGCUGUCGAAAUGCAUGAUGUCACAGUGAGCUGUUGUGGGAAUGCGGUGACGCUUCUCUGGCUAGCCUCUUCUCAUGAUGAGAGUGGCUUGCUUGGUGUUUGGAAACUCUAAUCCACCAGCCCAGUUCAAAUCACUUUCCUCUUUGGUGUCAUUUCACACAGGUGACCGGUUGUAUGCAGAUCAUCCAUGCAAAAUUUUCAGUGUGGGAAGCAACAAUGAAAAGGAGAUGAGAAGAGUGAAAGAUGUGUAAUGUUUGUGUCAUUGUGUUCGUUGCCUUCUGUCGUUGGUUUCAUCGGUUGCUGUUCUGUGUAUUCAAAAACGGAGAUCAAGUGUGGCGGCCUGUCUGCUUCGUGCAGGUGAGACGGUGAGCUCCCUGCUGAGCCAAGGCCGCCUGCUGUAUGCAUGCUCGUACUGCCCGUACACCUCGGUGCGGCGGUACACUGUGAAGCUGCAUGAGCGCACCCACACGGGCGAGCGGCCAUUUGUGUGCAACGUAUGCAAUCGACGCUUUGUGCAGCGCACCCACCUGGUGGUGCACCAGAAACGGCACGCCUCGGAGAAAAAGCCCCGCAAGUUGUUCGAAUGUCCCGACUGCCAAGCACAGUUCUUGAGCAAGAGGUGGUUCAAAUGCCACCGCAUGUCGCACACAAUGUGAUGGAGGAAUUAACUCGGCCACACGGGCUUGGCAGUACUCGAGGUCACCGAUGGCUUUCGUAGCAGAAAGUGGUUAGCACAACUGCAAAUUAGACUUUCGUACCCCAGGAAGUGUGAAUUUGACUCCUGUUAGGAUUCUCAACAAUGAGAUUGUAGAGCAUUGCAUGUCAGGGAUAAAUGUGCUUUAGGGCUGCGAAACAUUAUCUCUCUUAUGCUGUGUGGGAGAAUUCAGUAUCUUGACUUUAAAGUGAGUUCACUAGCUCUUCCCCAUAGUGUAGAAAACUUAAGCUAGACUCGAAAUGUUCACAGGCUCAGGCCAGUGUGAAGUCUACAACAUUUUCGUUGCACUGCUAAGUUCCAGAUGCAGCUAUGACAGCAUCAAGAGGGUUGCUCUAAUUUCAUGUGUACAAUGUUGUUUAGUGUUCUGUAGUACAAAUACUGCAACGAGCUGCGUCUACAACCGCAUGUUUGUCUGGUAACCGAACCACAGAGGCCAUUUCAAACACAGGACGUCUACAUCUCGUCCAGUCACCUAAUUACCAAAUGCAACAGGCAGCCUGAAGCUUACUGCUUGUCAAUGUCCUUUGCUGGUUGAAGGCAUUAUUUAAUUUUUGCCUAUUGCCACAGUUACCAUGUCAACUACCCAAGCGUCUGUACCAGACCACCAGCCGCAGAAAUGGUACAAAUUUAUAAGUGUAGCACGAUAGAUGAAACUAAGAAAGAAGGCUCAACAAGCGCUAUCUUGCAGGAGAAAUUGUACUUGAAUAAGCAUACAACUACGGACACCAACGACCAUCGUUGCCUCAACCCAUUUGAAUAGUACUUUCUUUUUCUUAGUCUUCUUUGCACUCUUGAACUUGCACUCAACUUGCUUUUACCUUGUGCUAUUGUUUGCAGUUCCUCUAUUGUGUGAUGUUAAGCAAGGGAAGCAUGUUUUUCAUACCACAAUAGUGUGCUCUGUCUGUACAGCUGUUCCUGCAUUUGCAUUUAUUAUCUGUAGAUCUGUCAUCAGCUUUCCUUUUGUAUUAUUUUUCUUAUGCACAUUUCUUUUUUUCUUGAGUCUGUGUGUCUCUGUGGUGUGCUUGACUGGGCCUGUGUGCCGCCCCCCAACAGGCCCAGUCAAGUCAUUUUUGUUCCGCUUUUCGUCUGUGCUCCUGACAUGUAUCCACAGUGUCCAAUAAAGAUUUCAUUGAUCGAUUAAA
Dermacentor andersoni is the source of this 4845-nucleotide RNA transcript. RefSeq lists it as uncharacterized. NCBI's taxonomy places the organism in Eukaryota, Metazoa, Arthropoda, Arachnida, Ixodida, Ixodidae. The record is from RefSeq and is a predicted model, not a curated record.